UCUUAGUACUAUGACUUUAUCUAUAAUCAUAUGUUUACAUGUGUUCUCUUAUGUUUAUUGAUCACUUCAAUUGGACUCUAUCAUCUAGGUACCCAUCAUACUGUCGACCAAAUAUAUGGCCUUCCAUUUCUUUGCCUGAGCUUGAACAAGAUCCAAGAUUCUUCACGCUUAUUCUCUGAUUCAAAUUCUAGCAUCCAUCACUCAAGUUCUUGACCCAAAGAUUCAUCAACACCUAGCUUCUUUUUUUCAGUCAAAGUUUGUUCUGUUAUG
Molecule: non-coding RNA, 270 nt
Organism: Phoenix dactylifera (date palm)
Lineage: Eukaryota; Viridiplantae; Streptophyta; Magnoliopsida; Arecales; Arecaceae
Source: RefSeq, a predicted model, not a curated record